This 498-nucleotide ribosomal RNA is filed under the name uncultured bacterium. RNAcentral's name for it is "partial 16S ribosomal RNA". It matches the Rfam family "Bacterial small subunit ribosomal RNA", at positions 30 to 523 of the family's 1533-position model. The record is from RNAcentral.
AUUGAACGCUGGCGGCAGGCUUAACACAUGCAAGUCGAGCGGAGAUGAGGUGCUUGCACCUUAUCUUAGCGGCGGACGGGUGAGUAAUGCUUAGGAAUCUGCCUAUUAGUGGGGGACAACAUUCCGAAAGGAAUGCUAAUACCGCAUACGUCCUACGGGAGAAAGCAGGGAAUCUUCGGACCUUGCGCUAAUAGAUGAGCCUAAGUCGGAUUAGCUAGUUGGUGGGGUAAAGGCCUACCAAGGCGACGAUCUGUAGCGGGUCUGAGAGGAUGAUCCGCCACACUGGGACUGAGACACGGCCCAGACUCCUACGGGAGGCAGCAGUGGGGAAUAUUGGACAAUGGGGGGAACCCUGAUCCAGCCAUGCCGCGUGUGGGAAGAAGGCCUUAUGGUUGUAAAGCACUUUAAGCGAGGAGGCUACUGAGACUAAUACUCUUGGAUAGUGGACGUUACUCGCAGAAUAAGCACCGGCUAACUCUGUGCCAGCCGCCGCGGUAA